UACGUAGGGUGCAAGCGUUGUCCGGAAUUAUUGGGCGUAAAGAGCUCGUAGGCGGCUUGUCACGUCGGGUGUGAAAGCCCGGGGCUUAACCCCGGGUCUGCAUUCGAUACGGGCUGGCUAGAGUGUGGUAGGGGAGAUCGGAAUUCCUGGUGUAGCGGUGAAAUGCGUAGAUAUCGGGAGGAACACCAGUGGCGAAGGCGACUUCCUGGCCUGUUCUUGACGCUGAGGCGCGAAAGCUAGGGUAGCAAACGGG
RNAcentral lists this ribosomal RNA (253 nucleotides) under uncultured bacterium. Its description in RNAcentral is "partial 16S ribosomal RNA". It matches the Rfam family "Bacterial small subunit ribosomal RNA", at positions 524 to 776 of the family's 1533-position model. The record is from RNAcentral.